This 1359-nucleotide ribosomal RNA is filed under the name uncultured bacterium. RNAcentral describes it as "bacterial SSU rRNA". It matches the Rfam family "Bacterial small subunit ribosomal RNA", at positions 28 to 1381 of the family's 1533-position model. The record is from RNAcentral.
GAUGAACGCUAGCUACAGGCUUAACACAUGCAAGUCGAGGGGCAUCAGGAAGAAAGCUUGCUUUCUUUGCUGGCGACCGGCGCACGGGUGAGUAACACGUAUCCAACCUGCCCUUUACUCGGGGAUAGCCUUUCGAAAGAAAGAUUAAUACCCGAUGGCAUAAUGAUUCCGCAUGGUUUCAUUAUUAAAGGAUUCCGGUAAAGGAUGGGGAUGCGUUCCAUUAGGUUGUUGGUGAGGUAACGGCUCACCAAGCCUUCGAUGGAUUGGGGUUCUGAGAGGAAGGUCCCCCACAUUGGAACUGAGACACGGUCCAAACUCCUACGGGAGGCAGCAGUGAGGAAUAUUGGUCAAUGGGCGCUAGCCUGAACCAGCCAAGUAGCGUGAAGGAUGAAGGCUCUAUGGGUCGUAAACUUCUUUUAUAUAAGAAUAAAGUGCAGUAUGUAUACUGUUUUGUAUGUAUUAUAUGAAUAAGGAUCGGCUAACUCCGUGCCAGCAGCCGCGGUAAUACGGAGGAUCCGAGCGUUAUCCGGAUUUAUUGGGUUUAAAGGGAGCGUAGGUGGACUGGUAAGUCAGUUGUGAAAGUUUGCGGCUCAACCGUAAAAUUGCAGUUGAUACUGUCAGUCUUGAGUACAGUAGAGGUGGGCGGAAUUCGUGGUGUAGCGGUGAAAUGCUUAGAUAUCACGAAGAACUCCGAUUGCGAAGGCAGCUCACUGGACUGCAACUGACACUGAUGCUCGAAAGUGUGGGUAUCAAACAGGAUUAGAUACCCUGGUAGUCCACACAGUAAACGAUGAAUACUCGCUGUUUGCGAUAUACAGUAAGCGGCCAAGCGAAAGCAUUAAGUAUUCCACCUGGGGAGUACGCCGGCAACGGUGAAGCUCAAAGGAAUUGACGGGGGCCCGCACAAGCGGAGGAACAUGUGGUUUAAUUCGAUGAUACGCGAGGAACCUUACCCGGGCUUAAAUUGCAGUGGAAUGAUGUGGAAACAUGUCAGUGAGCAAUCACCGCUGUGAAGGUGCUGCAUGGUUGUCGUCAGCUCGUGCCGUGAGGUGUCGGCUUAAGUGCCAUAACGAGCGCAACCCUUAUCUUCAGUUACUAACAGGUCAUGCUGAGGACUCUGGAGAGACUGCCGUCGUAAGAUGUGAGGAAGGUGGGGAUGACGUCAAAUCAGCACGGCCCUUACGUCCGGGGCUACACACGUGUUACAAUGGGGGGUACAGAAGGCAGCUAGCGGGUGACCGUAUGCUAAUCCCAAAAUCCUCUCUCAGUUCGGAUCGAAGUCUGCAACCCGACUUCGUGAAGCUGGAUUCGCUAGUAAUCGCGCAUCAGCCACGGCGCGGUGAAUACGUUCCCGGGCCU